This 256-nucleotide ribosomal RNA is filed under the name uncultured bacterium. RNAcentral describes it as "partial 16S ribosomal RNA". It matches the Rfam family "Bacterial small subunit ribosomal RNA", at positions 524 to 776 of the family's 1533-position model. The record is from RNAcentral.
UACGGGGGGAGCAAGCGUUGUUCGGAUUUACUGGGCGUAAAGGGCGCGUAGGCGGUCGUGACAAGUCACUUGUGAAAUCUCCGGGCUUAACUCGGAACGGUCAAGUGAUACUGUCGGACUAGAGUACAGAAGGGGCAACUGGAAUUCUCGGUGUAGCGGUGAAAAUGCGUAGAUAGUCGGGAGGAACACCGGUGGCGAAGGCGGCGACCUGGACAGUAACUGACGCUGAGACGCGAAAGCGUGGGUAGCAAACAGG